This 1086-nucleotide ribosomal RNA is filed under the name Klebsiella sp. RNAcentral describes it as "bacterial SSU rRNA". It matches the Rfam family "Bacterial small subunit ribosomal RNA", at positions 392 to 1468 of the family's 1533-position model. The record is from RNAcentral. Lineage: Bacteria; Pseudomonadati; Pseudomonadota; Gammaproteobacteria; Enterobacterales; Enterobacteriaceae.
CCAUGCGCGCUGGUGGGAAGAAAGCUUUCAGGGUGUAAAGCACUUUCAGCGGGGAGGAAGGCGAUAAGGUUAUAACCUGGUCGAUUGACGUUACCCGCAGAAGAAGCACGGGCUAACUCCGUGCCAGCAGCCCGCGGUAAUACGGAGGGUGCAAGGCGUUAAUCGGAAUUACUGGGCGUAAAGCGCACGCAGGCGGUCUGUCAAGUCGGAUGUGAAAUCCCCGGGCUCAACGUGGGAACUGCAUUCGAAACUGGCAGGCUAGAGUCUUGUAGAGGGGGGUAGAAUUCCAGGUGUAGCGGUGAAAUGCGUAGAGAUCUGGAGGAAUACCGGUGGCGAAGGCGGCCCCCUGGACAAAGACUGACGCUCAGGUGCGAAAGCGUGGGGAGCAAACAGGAUUAGAUACCCUGGUAGUCCACGCCGUAAACGAUGUCGAUUUGGAGGUUGUGCCCUUGAGGCGUGGCUUCCGGAGCUAACGCGUUAAAUCGACCGCCUGGGGAGUACGGCCGCAAGGUUAAAACUCAAAUGAAUUGACGGGGGCCCGCACAAGCGGUGGAGCAUGUGGUUUAAUUCGAUGCAACGCGAAGAACCUUACCUGGUCUUGACAUCCACAGAACUUAGCAGAGAUGCUUUGGUGCCUUCGGGAACUGUGAGACAGGUGCUGCAUGGCUGUCGUCAGCUCGUGUUGUGAAAUGUUGGGUUAAGUCCCGCAACGAGCGCAACCCUUAUCCUUUGUUGCCAGCGGUUAGGCCGGGAACUCAAAGGAGACUGCCAGUGAUAAACUGGAGGAAGGUGGGGAUGACGUCAAGUCAUCAUGGCCCUUACGACCAGGGCUACACACGUGCUACAAUGGCAUAUACAAAGAGAAGCGACCUCGCGAGAGCAAGCGGACCUCAUAAAGUAUGUCGUAGUCCGGAUUGGAGUCUGCAACUCGACUCCAUGAAGUCGGAAUCGCUAGUAAUCGUAGAUCAGAAUGCUACGGUGAAUACGUUCCCGGGCCUUGUACACACCGCCCGUCACACCAUGGGAGUGGGUUGCAAAAGAAGUAGGUAGCUUAACCUUCGGGAGGGCGGUUAACCCCUUUGUAGU